GAUGAACGCUGGCGGCGUGCCUAAUACAUGCAAGUCGAGCGAACGGACGAGAAGCUUGCUUCUCUGAUGUUAGCGGCGGACGGGUGAGUAACACGUGGAUAACCUACCUAUGAGACUGGGAUAACUUCGGGAAACCGUAGCUAAUACCAGAUAAUAUUUUGAACCGCAUGGUUCAAAAGUGAAAGACGGUCUUGCUGUCACUUAUAGAUGGAUCCGCGCUGCAUUAGCUAGUUGGUAAGGUAACGGCUUACCAAGGCAACGAUGCAUAGCCGACCUGAGAGGGUGAUCGGCCACACUGGAACUGAGACACGGUCCAGACUCCUACGGGAGGCAGCAGUAGGGAAUCUUCCGCAAUGGGCGAAAGCCUGACGGAGCAACGCCGCGUGAGUGAUGAAGGUCUUCGGAUCGUAAAACUCUGUUAUUAGGGAAGAACAUAUGUGUAAGUAACUGUGCACAUCUUGACGGUACCUAAUCAGAAAGCCACGGCUAACUACGUGCCAGCAGCCGCGGUAAUACGUAGGUGGGCAGCGUUAUCCGGAAUUAUUGGGCGUAAAGCGCGCGUAGGCGGUUUUUUAAGUCUGAUGUGAAAGCCCACGGCUCAACCGUGGAGGGUCAUUGGAAACUGGAAAACUUGAGUGCAGAAGAGGAAAGUGGAAUUCCAUGUGUAGCGGUGAAAUGCGCAGAGAUAUGGAGGAACACCAGUGGCGAAGGCGACUUUCUGGUCUGUAACUGACGCUGAUGUGCGAAAGCGUGGGGAUCAAACAGGAUUAGAUACCCUGGUAGUCCACGCCGUAAACGAUGAGUGCUAAGUGUUAGGGGGUUUCCGCCCCUUAGUGCUGCAGCUAACGCAUUAAGCACUCCGCCUGGGGAGUACGACCGCAAGGUUGAAACUCAAAGGAAUUGACGGGGACCCGCACAAGCGGUGGAGCAUGUGGUUUAAUUCGAAGCAACGCGAAGAACCUUACCAAAUCUUGACAUCCUUUGACAACUCUAGAGAUAGAGCCUUCCCCUUCGGGGGACAAAGUGACAGGUGGUGCAUGGUUGUCGUCAGCUCGUGUCGUGAGAUGUUGGGUUAAGUCCCGCAACGAGCGCAACCCUUAAGCUUAGUUGCCAUCAUUAAGUUGGGCACUCUAAGUUGACUGCCGGUGACAAACCGGAGGAAGGUGGGGAUGACGUCAAAUCAUCAUGCCCCUUAUGAUUUGGGCUACACACGUGCUACAAUGGACAAUACAAAGGGCAGCGAAACCGCGAGGUCAAGCAAAUCCCAUAAAGUUGUUCUCAGUUCGGAUUGUAGUCUGCAACUCGACUACAUGAAGCUGGAAUCGCUAGUAAUCGUAGAUCAGCAUGCUACGGUGAAUACGUUCCCGGGUCU
This 1372-nucleotide ribosomal RNA is filed under the name uncultured bacterium. RNAcentral describes it as "bacterial SSU rRNA". It matches the Rfam family "Bacterial small subunit ribosomal RNA", at positions 28 to 1381 of the family's 1533-position model. The record is from RNAcentral.